GUGCCAGCCGCGGCGGUAAUACGUAGGGAGCAAGCGUUGUCCGGAUUUACUGGGUGUAAAGGGUGCGUAGGCGGCUUUUUAAGUCGGGCGUGAAAGCUGUGGGCUUAACCCACAAAUUGCGUUCGAAACUGGAAGGCUUGAGUGAAGUAGAGGUAGGCGGAAUUCCCGGUGUAGCGGUGAAAUGCGUAGAGAUCGGGAGGAACACCAGUGGCGAAGGCGGCCUACUGGGCUUUAACUGACGCUGAGGCACGAAAGCAUGGGUAGCAAACAGGAUUAGAUACCCUGGUAGUCCAUGCCGUAAACGAUGAUUACUAGGUGUGGGGGUCUGACCCCUUCCGUGCCGGAGUUAACACAAUAAGUAAUCCACCUGGGAGUACGGCCGCAAGGUU
RNAcentral lists this ribosomal RNA (389 nucleotides) under uncultured Clostridium sp. RNAcentral describes it as "bacterial SSU rRNA". It matches the Rfam family "Bacterial small subunit ribosomal RNA", at positions 505 to 895 of the family's 1533-position model. Lineage: Bacteria; Bacillati; Bacillota; Clostridia; Eubacteriales; Clostridiaceae. The record is from RNAcentral.